UUUGUUGAUGGUCAUCUAUUCAUCAUUGGGCAUAUUUUUUUGCAACCAUUAAUAUGCUGUGGUAAUUAGAUGAACAUCAACAAACA
Capsicum annuum is the source of this 86-nucleotide non-coding RNA. NCBI's taxonomy places the organism in Eukaryota, Viridiplantae, Streptophyta, Magnoliopsida, Solanales, Solanaceae. The record is from Rfam.